Molecule: ribosomal RNA, 401 nt
Filed under: uncultured bacterium
Lineage: Bacteria
Description: bacterial SSU rRNA
Rfam family: Bacterial small subunit ribosomal RNA
Source: RNAcentral
CUGGUCUUGACAUCCCGUUGACGCAUGAGCAAAGUCAUGUUUCCUUCAGGACAGCGGAGACAGGUGGUGCAUGGUUGUCGUCAGCUCGUGUCGUGAGAUGUUGGGUUAAGUCCCGCAACGAGCGCAACCCCUAUUUCCAGUAGCCAGCAGGCAAAGCUGGGCACUCUGGAGAGACUGCCCGGGAUAACCGGGAGGAAGGCGGGGAUGACGUCAAAUCAUCAUGCCCCUUAUGAUCAGGGCUACACACGUGCUACAAUGGCGUAAACAAAGGGAAGCGAGACGGCGACGUUAAGCAAAUCCCAAAAAUAACGUCUCAGUUCGGAUUGUAGUCUGCAACUCGACUACAUGAAGCUGGAAUCGCUAGUAAUCGCGAAUCAGAAUGUCGCGGUGAAUACGUUCCC